Molecule: transfer RNA, 55 nt
Filed under: Pareas boulengeri
Lineage: Eukaryota; Metazoa; Chordata; Lepidosauria; Squamata; Pareidae
Description: tRNA-Ser
Source: RNAcentral
GAGAGGGUCUAAGACCUGCUAAUUCUUCACUCUGGUAUAAUACCCAGCCCUCUCU